ACGACUCUCGGCAAUAGAUAUCUCGGCUCUUGUAUCGAUGUAGCAAAAUGUGAUACUUAGUGUGAAUUGUAGAAUCCGGUGAACCAUAGAGUAUUUGAACGCAAGUUGCACCCGAAGCCAUUAGGCCGAGGGCACGUUUGCCUGGGAAUCACGCAUCGCCUUGCCCACUCAUAUCCUGACUCAAUCACGGGGCUCACUGUUAUGGUAGGGCGGAUACUAGCCUCCAGUGCACCUCGAGCUCGUGGAUGGCCUAAAUGCGAGUCCAGAUCAACGGACGUCGUGGAAAGUGGUAGUUGUAACUCAACUCUCUUUGUUGUAGCGGCUAUAGACCAUCGCGUGUCCAGACUCCAGGACGCUUUCACGCUUAGGCACUCUGACCGCGACCCUAGGUCAGGCAAGAUUACCUGUUGAUUUUAAGCAUAUCAAUAAGCGGAGGAAGAGAAACUUACAAGGAUUCCCUUAGUAACGACGACCAAAUCGGGAACAACCCAGUCUUAGAAUCGGGCAUCUCUGUCGUCCGAAUUAUAGUUUGGAGAAGCAUCCUCAGCGGUAGACUGGGCCUAAGUCCCCUGGAAGAAGGCGCCAGAGAAGGUUAGAGCCCCAUUUUUCCCGAACCCUGUCGCACAAUGAGGCACUGUGUACGAGUUAGGUUGUUUGGAAAUGCAGCCCAAAUUUGGCAGUGAAUUCUGUCCAAAGAUAAAUAUGAGUGACAGACCGAUAGCGAAAAAGUACCGUGAGGGAAAGAUAAAAAGGACUUUUAAAAGAGAGUCAAAGAGUUCUUGAAAUUAUCGGGAGAAAAGCGGAUGGGGACCGGCGAUGCACCCCAGUCGGAUAUGGAAUGGCGACGAGCCGGUUCGGCGAUCGACUCGGGGCAUGGACCAGCGUGGAUUGGGGGGCAUCCAAAGCCCAGGCUCUUGAUACGCUCGUGGAACGCUGUCCUCUCGAUUGUGGCAGGCAGCUCCAGCAUGCUUUGGCAUCUGCGAGCUACGGAUUCUGGCCUGUAGGCUCCCCCAUUCAACCCGUCUUGAAAAAUGGACCAAGGAGUCUGGCAUGUGUGCGAGUAAACCUGUAAGGCGUAAGGAAACUAAUUGGUGGUAAGCAGAACUGGCGAUGCGGGAUGAACCAAAAGCCGGGUUACUGUGCUAAACUGUGCGCUAACCUAGACCCCACAAAGGGUGUUGGUCGAUUAAGACAGCAGAACGGUGUUCAUGGAAGUAAAAACCCACUAAGGAGUGUGUAACAGCUCACCUGCCGAAUAAACAAGACCCGAAAAUGGAUGGCACUUAAGCGUGCGACCUACACCCAGCCGUCGGGAAAAGUUCCAUGCCCCGAUGAGUAGGAGGCCAUCGGUGUAGAUAUAGGUGAUAGUAGCAAAUAUUCAAAUGAAAACUUUGAAGGCUAAAGAGGGGAAUGGUUCCGUGUGAAUGGCACUUGCACAUGGGUUAGUCGAUCCUAAGGGUCGGGAAAACCCCGACAGAUAGCGCAUUUCAUGCGUACUCCGAAAGGGAAUCAGGUUAAAAUUCUUGGACCAGGACGUGGCGGUCAACGACAAUGUUAGGUAGUUUGGAGCCGUCAGAGGGAGCCUCGGGAAGAGUUAUCUUUUUUGUUAAAUAGCCUACCCACCCUGGAAUCGGCUCAGCUGGAGGUAGGGUCUUGAGGCUGGAAGAGCACCGCACAUCACGUGGUGUUCGGUGCACUUCUGGCGGCCCUUGAAAAUCCAAAUGACCGAAUAUCGUCCACACCUGGUUGUUAUCAUAUCCACAUCAAGUCUCCAAGGGGAACAACCUCUGGUCAAUGGAACAAUGUAGGCAAGGGAAGUCUGCAAAAUGGAUCCAUAACUUCUAGAAAAUGAUUGGCACUGAGGACUGGGAACGGGGGUCCCAGUCCUGAACCCGUCGAUUAUCAGUGGACUACUCGAGCUGCUCCUACAGUAUGAGCGGUUCACCACAUGCCGGUUGGGGGAAGGAUUGGGAACGGUUUCGUCGGGGGCCUUCCCCGCGCGUCAAACAGCCAGCUCAAAACUGGUACGAACAAGGGGAAUCCGACUAUUUAAUGAAAACAAAGCAUUGUGAUGGUCACAACGGAUGUUCACGCAUUGUCAUUUCUGCCCAAUGCUCUGAAUGUCAAAGUGAAGAAAUUCAACCAAGUGCGGGUAAACGACAGGAGUAAUAUGACUCUCUUAAGGUAGCCAAAUGCCUCGUCAUCUAAUUAAGGAUGCGCAUGAAUGGAUUAACGAGAUUCCCACUAUCCCUGUCUACUAUCUAGCGAAGACACAGCCAAGGGAAUGGGCUUGGCAGAAUCAGCUAGGAAAGAAGACCCUCUUGAUCUUGACUCUACUCUGAAAGGCAAAAGUGAAAUACCACUAUUUUUAACAUUAUUUUACUUAUUUUGUAAGUCAAAAGCGGAGCACUGCCCCUCUUUUUGGACCCAAGGGUCGCUCUGCGGGCCGAUCCAGGCGGAAGACAUUGUCAAGUGGGGAGUUUGGCUGGGCGGCACAUCUGUUAAAAGAUAACGCAGGUGUCCUAAGAUGAGCUCAAAGAGAAUAGAAAUAUCGUGUGGAACAAAAGGGUAAAAGCACGUUUGAUUCUGAUUUCCAGUAUGAAUACGAACCAUGAAUGUGUGGCUUAACGAUUCUUUAGACCAUCAAAAUUCGAAGCUAGAGGUGUCAGAAAAGUGUUACCACGGGGAUAACUAGCCUGUUGCAGCCAAGCGUUUAUAGCGACAUUGUUUUUUCAUUCUUCGAUGUCGGCUCUUCCUAUCAUUGUAAAGCAGAAUUCACCAAGUGUUGCACUGUUCACCCACCAAUAGGGAAUGUGAGCUGGGUUUAGAUUGUCGUGAGACAGGUUAGUUUUACCUUACUUAUGAUAGUGUCGCAGUAGUAAUUCAACCUAGUACGAGAGCAAAUGUUGAUUCACAUAAUUUGUCAUCGCGCUUGGUUGAAAAGCCAGUGGCACAAAGCUACCAUGUGCUGGAUUAUGACUGAACGCCUCUAAGUCAGAAUCUAGGCUAGAAGCGAUGCAUGCGCCCGCUGUCCGCUUGCCGACCCGCAAUAGAGGCCUCAUCCCCCAAGGGCACGUGUCGUUUGCUAAGCCACCACGGCGGAAGACUCACGUUAGACACCUUGAAGUAUAAUUUCCAUCGACCGGUGGGUAGACUACUUUGCAGACGACUUAAAUAUGCAACAGGGGCUUAUAAGUUAAAGAGUGGCCUUG
This 3212-nucleotide ribosomal RNA is filed under the name Capsicum chinense (habanero). RNAcentral's name for it is "eukaryotic LSU rRNA". The stretch from base 381 to 3212 matches the Rfam family "Eukaryotic large subunit ribosomal RNA". The record is from RNAcentral. Lineage: Eukaryota; Viridiplantae; Streptophyta; Magnoliopsida; Solanales; Solanaceae.